GAGCUCCGCUCGUCUCUUGUCUGGGGAGCUACGUGUCGCACCGGGUUUUUGGGCCGGCCGUGUUCUCCUCCCUCGGUCGCCACUGGCCCAUGAGUCCCCAUGGCGACGGCAGGGGCCAGGCCCGGGGGCGGGCAGUCGGAGUGGGGCUGCGGCACUCCGGGGGCAUCCGCGGCGGCAUGGCCGUGUUCGCUGCCGUGGCCGCAGUGUUCACCCUCACCCUGCCCCCCUCGGUACCGGGGGGAGACUCCGGGGAACUGAUCACAGCCGCACAUGAGCUUGGAGUUGCCCAUCCUCCUGGCUAUCCUUUGUUCACGCUGGUGGCUAAACUGGCAAUUACACUGUUUCCUUUUGGUUCAAUUGCCUACCGCGUCAAUCUUCUCUGUGGCUUAUUUGGAGCAGUAGCUGCAUCAUUACUUUUUUUCACCGUUUUCAGAGGAAUAGUAUUCCAUCAGUGAGAAAACUACUAUGCAAUCAGUACCUUUCUUAGGAAUCUUAUCUGGGUCUCAUGAAUUUUGGGGACCAAAAAAAAGAAGACAGUUAUGUU
Molecule: small RNA, 544 nt
Filed under: Pongo abelii (Sumatran orangutan)
Lineage: Eukaryota; Metazoa; Chordata; Mammalia; Primates; Hominidae
Description: processed transcript
Source: RNAcentral